GACGAACGCUGGCGGCGUGCCUAAUACAUGCAAGUCGAACGAGAGCGACCGGUGCUUGCACUGGUCAAUCUAGUGGCGAACGGGUGAGUAACACGUGGGUAACCUGCCCAUCAGAGGGGGAUAACAUCCGGAAACGGAUGCUAAAACCGCAUAGGUCUUCGAACCGCAUGGUUUGAAGAGGAAAAGAGGCGCAAGCUUCUGCUGAUGGAUGGACCCGCGGUGCAUUAGCUAGUUGGUGAGGUAACGGCUCACCAAGGCCGAGAUGCAUAGCCGACCUGAGAGGGUGAUCGGCCACAUUGGGACUGAGACACGGCCCAAACUCCUACGGGAGGCAGCAGUAGGGAAUCUUCCGCAAUGGACGCAAGUCUGACGGAGCAACGCCGCGUGAGUGAAGAAGGUUUUCGGAUCGUAAAACUCUGUUGUUAGAGAAGAACAAGUGCUAGAGUAACUGUUAGCGCCUUGACGGUAUCUAACCAGAAAGCCACGGCUAACUACGUG
RNAcentral lists this ribosomal RNA (498 nucleotides) under uncultured bacterium. Its description in RNAcentral is "partial 16S ribosomal RNA". It matches the Rfam family "Bacterial small subunit ribosomal RNA", at positions 28 to 507 of the family's 1533-position model. The record is from RNAcentral.